UCCCGAUCCCAGGGACCGGGCGUCACUUCCUCAUCGUGAGCGACGCAUCUGAGGGCGCCGCCUCACCUCCGCCUCCAGGAGCCGCCGCCGCUCCUCCUCCGCGUCCAGGCGCCGCUACCCCUCCGUCCCUUCAUCCUCGUCGGUGGCUCCUGCUCCGCCACCCCUCCGCCGCUCGGCCUCCCCGACGCUGCAACCGCUCGGCCUCCUCGUGGAUCUGCAGCAGCGCCUCCAGCUCGGCCUCCGGCCGCCGUCGCUCCGCCCCUCCGCCUCCCCGUCCAGGUUAUGCCGCCCCGUUCUACCGCUGCGUCGUCCGCCUCCCCCAACUGCCGGUCCCCCACCUCCCCGUCCAAGAUCCGGCACCGCGCUACAGUCCCUCGUCGCCUCCGUCUCCUGUCCGACUGUUGAGAUGUGCCUGAUAUAUUGCCAUCAACGUUAGAUGUCUGUAACUGCAAUUUUCACAAAAGGAUGUUCUGCUUUUAUAUUCUCUUUCCUUGCAGGCAAUAAUGGAUACGAGAUGCAAGAUCACAGGUACAUAUUUAACUAUUGGAAUUUACUUCCUUCUAUUUUAAUUCAAUUGCUUCUUUUGUUUCAAAAGAUUUAAUUGUUUCUAAAAAUUGUUUCAGAUUCAUUUGAUUAAUUCUGGCCACCUACAAGAGAUGUAACUUUCUGUUUGUCUUCCUCUGUUGUUUAAUUACAAGUCAAGUGCAAAGUAUAGUGCUACUUGCAUAAUAGAUUUUAUUUACUAAAGGCAAGAGUAUAUACGCUGUUUUGGAUCUAGUUGCUCGAAGUAUCAUAUUGACAAUAAUUUGACUGUGCACAUUCCGCUCUAUCAAAGUAACAUUUUUUAUAGAAAAUUUUAUGACUUAAUAAUAUAAGUGAACUACAUUGAAUAAUAUCUAAAUUAACCAUUCCUUAUACUUUUUGAAAGAAAUCGUAUAUUUGAAUGCUUGUGCUUACAAUUUGUGCUUCAUUUUUGUUUAGGAUGAUUAUUCAAAUAAAUAUAGAUAGCGAAGUUUCUUCAAUAAGAGUUUUCCUUCAAAAUUUGAAAAUCUAGGAAUCUAGUGUUCAUUCAGACAAGGACAUUUCUAUUUCAGCUUUAGAAUAGAGAUUUGGCUGAUGCAGAGUGAACUUGAACAGAGAGUCGUCAGUUUGCCAGGACAAAUGUAUUGACACUGUAGGUAUUGAGAUGAUUCCAAGGAUGAAGUAUGGAAACACAAGAAAGUUUACCCAUUUCAGAUGUCAUGUAUAUUUUACUUCUAGUCUGGAAUAUUGUAUAUAUUGUAUACCAUCCCUCUCUGUAUCAUUUUCUUCCAUGUACAGAAGAACUUAUUGAAUGAAAAUAUAUGGUAUAUUUUAUAAUGAAUCAAA
This is a long non-coding RNA of Panicum virgatum (switchgrass), 1368 nucleotides long. RefSeq lists it as uncharacterized. NCBI's taxonomy places the organism in Eukaryota, Viridiplantae, Streptophyta, Magnoliopsida, Poales, Poaceae. The record is from RefSeq and is a predicted model, not a curated record. The transcript is spliced from 2 exons.